GACUUCAAAUCUGUUGAGGGAGAUCGUCAGAUGGGGCUCAACUCCCUUCCUG
RNAcentral lists this transfer RNA (52 nucleotides) under Skeletonema marinoi. RNAcentral describes it as "partial Selenocysteine transfer RNA". The record is from RNAcentral. Lineage: Eukaryota; Bacillariophyta; Thalassiosirophyceae; Thalassiosirales; Thalassiosiraceae.